Molecule: long non-coding RNA, 805 nt
Filed under: Gallus gallus (chicken)
Lineage: Eukaryota; Metazoa; Chordata; Aves; Galliformes; Phasianidae
Description: lncRNA (ENSGALG00010015941.1)
Source: RNAcentral
GUAUUGUCUGGGGGAAUGCUGCGUGACCCGAACAGCCAGCACAGAAUGUCUAGGUUCUUUCAUCCCGUGUGGCCGGGCUGCAGCUGGGUCACCUUUGCUAUGUAUGUCCAGGGAGAGUGUGACUUCCACUGGUUACCCAGCACAAGGUCUAUGAAAUGAGACUUCACAACACAAGUGGCUGGACAAUGUUUAAAAAGAAAAAAAAGAAAAAAAGAAAAAAGAAAGAAAAAAGAGAAGAAAGCAAUGUACAGAUUACAUUAUUUUGGCACUGGAACAGAAAUACCCCAAACUAAACCCCAGAAUGAAAGCAAGGCAACUCCCCUUGGCCCUGCCCAUCCUUCCCCCUGCCCUCCUGCCCACUCUACCUACAAGAAGACGGAAGGAGACAGUUUUUGAAAGCACCCAGCUGUAAUUGGUGAGCACGCUUGUCCAGGGAGCCAUCCCAUGGCACAGAAUGGGCUUCAGCUCCUCUCCAUCUGGCACAGGACGGCUAUGAGAGCAGAGACUGCCACCCACCAAUCACACCUUCCCACCUCUAGAGUAGACAAAGAUGGCUCUUUAGGUCAUUUUAUUUUAUUUCUUUGUUGUUUCCCCCCCCCUUUUUUUUUCUCCUCCCCCCGUUUUUUUUUUUUUUUUACAAAAAUUUCUACAUCUAAAUCACUUUGCUAUAGAAACAUUAUUUUCUUUCCUUUUUUUUUUUUUUUUUUUUUUUACAUUAGUUAAAGCAGAACCUGCUUUUGUGAAAAAAGACAAGGAUCAAGGUCUUAUUUCAUGCAGAAAAUGCAAAUUAAAGAACAUAAAAAUG